RNAcentral lists this long non-coding RNA (293 nucleotides) under Solanum tuberosum (potato). RNAcentral describes it as "long non-coding RNA (STUB_LNC004044)". Lineage: Eukaryota; Viridiplantae; Streptophyta; Magnoliopsida; Solanales; Solanaceae. The record is from RNAcentral.
CCCGUUCCUCAUAUGUGAUAUUAUUAUUUCAUUAUUAGGUAUAAGAUAGUAAACGAUAAGGAAAGACAAUUUAUUAAGAAAGCCAUGCUAAAAUAUAUAUAGAUAUACCUUAGCAGGUGUUUAUUUUACAACAUAACAUAGUAGCUGGCCAGCAGGCAGGCUAAAACAUAGUAUAGUCUAGCUGCAGGCAUUAUUUGUUACUAGACUUCCUGGAAUAAGACAUCAAGAGGAUUUUCGUUGACAAGAGCCAAACGCCUUUUUCCAUUUUGAAUAACUACACCCACUUUUGCACA